GUGAGUAUAGCUUAAAGGUAAAGCGGCUGUAUGUGGCAUAGUAGAUUCUCUGUUCAACUCAGAGUAUUCACC
Molecule: transfer RNA, 72 nt
Filed under: Genlisea aurea
Lineage: Eukaryota; Viridiplantae; Streptophyta; Magnoliopsida; Lamiales; Lentibulariaceae
Rfam family: tRNA
About the family: Transfer RNA (tRNA) molecules are approximately 80 nucleotides in length. Their secondary structure includes four short double-helical elements and three loops (D, anti-codon, and T loops). Further hydrogen bonds mediate the characteristic L-shaped molecular structure. tRNAs have two regions of fundamental functional importance: the anti-codon, which is responsible for specific mRNA codon recognition, and the 3' end, to which the tRNAs corresponding amino acid is attached (by aminoacyl-tRNA synthetases). tRNAs cope with the degeneracy of the genetic code in two manners: having more than one tRNA (with a specific anti-codon) for a particular amino acid; and 'wobble' base-pairing, i.e. permitting non-standard base-pairing at the 3rd anti-codon position.
Source: Rfam by way of RNAcentral